GAUGAACGCUAGCGGCAGGCUUAAUACAUGCAAGUCAAGGGGGUAGCAAUACAACCGGCGCACGGGUGAGUAACGCGUACACAACAUACCAUAUACUGGAGUAUAGCUUUGGGAAACUGAAGGUAAUCCUCCAUAACAUUGCGAGAGGGCAUCUGAUUGCAAUUAAAGUUUCGGCGGUAUAUGAUUGGUGUGCGUUUGAUUAGCUAGUUGGUAGGGUAACGGCCUACCAAGGCGACGAUCAAUAGCUGGCGUGAGAGCGCGACCAGCCACACUGGAACUGAGACACGGUCCAGACUCCUACGGGAGGCAGCAGUAGGGAAUAUUGGACAAUGGAGGAAACGUACUGAUCCA
Molecule: ribosomal RNA, 351 nt
Filed under: uncultured bacterium
Lineage: Bacteria
Description: bacterial SSU rRNA
Rfam family: Bacterial small subunit ribosomal RNA
Source: RNAcentral